This 207-nucleotide ribosomal RNA is filed under the name uncultured bacterium. RNAcentral describes it as "partial 16S ribosomal RNA". It matches the Rfam family "Bacterial small subunit ribosomal RNA", at positions 568 to 774 of the family's 1533-position model. The record is from RNAcentral.
CGUGUAGGCGGCCCGCUAAGUCUGAUGUGAAAGCCCGGGGCUCACCCCCGGAAGGGCAUUGGAAACUGGCGGACUCGAGUCCCGGAGAGGAGGGUGGAAUUCCUGGUGUAGCGGUGAAAUGCGUAGAUAUCAGGAGGAACACCGGCGGCGAAGGCGGCCCUCUGGAUCGUUGCUGACGCUGAUACGCGAAAGCGUGGGGAGCAAACA